AUCAAGAACAGGAUCUCAAGACACUUCUGUUGAAUACUGCACAAUCUUCUACAACAAGGAGAAGGUAGAGCUGCUAGAAGGUGGAACAUUUUGGUUAUCAGAUUCACCCUCUGUCCCAGGAAGCAUGUCAUGGGGUGCUGCAGUUCCGUGUAUUGCAACAUGGGCUACAUUCCAACUGAAAGGAGUUGAACCGCCGGGCUUUUCAUUUCAAAUAGUGAAUACAAACAUGGAUGAAUUCAGUCCUCAGGCCCGCAGAAGAAGUGCUUUACUGACUUGGCAACACAUUGCAUCCUUACCUCCAAGCUUGCCAGUUGUGUACUGUGGAGGAUUUAACACACUAAAGGAAUCACCUACAGGACGUUUUCUUCUUGGGAGAUCAAGGGAGCAUGGUGUUGUGGGAGAUAUGAGGGAUGUAUGGC
This 419-nucleotide unclassified non-coding RNA is filed under the name Hevea brasiliensis (rubber tree). The record is from RNAcentral. Lineage: Eukaryota; Viridiplantae; Streptophyta; Magnoliopsida; Malpighiales; Euphorbiaceae.